GUAACAAGGUUUCCGUAGGUGAACCUGCGGAAGGAUCAUUACCGAGUGCGGGCCCUCGUGGCCCAACCUCCCACCCUUGUCUCUAUACACCCGUUGCUUUGGCGGGCCCACCGGGGCCACCUGGUCGCCGGGGGACGUUCGUCCCCGGGCCCGCGCCCGCCGAAGCGCUCUGUGAACCCUGAUGAAGAUGGGCUGUCUGAGUACUAUGAAAAUUGUCAAAACUUUCAACAAUGGAUCUCUUGGUUCCGGCAUCGAUGAAGAACGCAGCGAAAUGCGAUAAGUAAUGUGAAUUGCAGAAUUCCGUGAAUCAUCGAAUCUUUGAACGCACAUUGCGCCCCCUGGCAUUCCGGGGGGCAUGCCUGUCCGAGCGUCAUUUCUGCCCUCAAGCACGGCUUGUGUGUUGGGUGUGGUCCCCCCGGGGACCUGCCCGAAAGGCAGCGGCGACGUCCGUCUGGUCCUCGAGCGUAUGGGGCUCUGUCACUCGCUCGGGAAGGACCUGCGGGGGUUGGUCACCACCAUAUUUUACCACGGUUGACCUCGGAUCAGGUAGGAGUUACCCGCUGAACUUAAGCAUAU
RNAcentral lists this ribosomal RNA (576 nucleotides) under Talaromyces verruculosus. Its description in RNAcentral is "eukaryotic LSU rRNA". The stretch from base 220 to 373 matches the Rfam family "5.8S ribosomal RNA". The record is from RNAcentral. Lineage: Eukaryota; Fungi; Ascomycota; Eurotiomycetes; Eurotiales; Trichocomaceae.